UAUGCGAAAUCCGAAAAGCAGAAAAAGAGUAGGAA
Paludibacter sp. 47-17 is the source of this 35-nucleotide non-coding RNA. Lineage: Bacteria; Pseudomonadati; Bacteroidota; Bacteroidia; Bacteroidales; Paludibacteraceae. The record is from Rfam.